UUGUGUGCUGUAACUCAGUUCUUAAAUACUAAGAUGGUGUCUUCAUGUUAAAAUGGAAUGUGCUAAUAAUUCAGAAUUUUAGAAACAAAAGGUUUUCUGUACAAUAUUUAAUUGGAUGAGGUAUAAAAGUGGAUGCAUCAGGACAUAUUUCAUUCUCUCAUAGUUAAAGUUACUCAUGCAACAUAUGUGUAAUGCGUCAUCACUCUAUAUAAUGCAGUUUUUCUCUCCAGAUAAAUAUUUAUAAUGAGAAAUGGUUUUUGAUUUAAUAAGCUCCAUAAAAACACCUGUUUCAGUUAAGUUUCUAUAAUUAAGUUUGUGUUCCCCAUGUUCCUUUGUCUGCUAUCGUUUGGAUUUGCUCCUUCUCUCCUGUGGAUUAUUAAUAUAACUCUUUGAUUAUACUCCGUCGUGCGCUUUGUUUUGCACACCACACCUAACUUUAGUGUAUAGUACUCUUUGUAAACAUUCCCCUCAACCGAGCUGUUAUAUAGUAUCUUUCUCAAGUGCUGAUAGCUGAUGUAUUUCCUCCUGUGAGGUGAAAACCAUCAACCAUUCGGUUACCACCCUAGAUAUUCUUCCACUAAGCUGCACCACCCAACCCCACCUCUAGAGGCACACCAUGAUUAUUUAAGCCUCAAGACUUUGCUAGUUCAUCCAUUCAUGAUGCAGUUGUGUUUAGCUCUCUUGUGUGUGUCAUUGCAAUGGCUUGAAACUAUGUGUCUUCAGGUAAACCAAAACCCUCUGGUGCUUAUUCUUCAAGCAGGGGAACCACUGAAAGUUGUCUGCUCCAUCACAGGCACUAAUAACCCGGACCUGUACUGGUACCGUUGGACCCCAACAGAUGGUUUCAAGCUGAUGUUCAGUUCUUUCAGUGCAGGAAGUGUGAGUCCAGCAAGCGUGGGGGAUUUUUCAUCCAACAGACCAGGGCUUCUUCAGAUAGUGCUGGAGUCCAAGAGUGUAACAGAUGUUGGUUCUGUUGUUUGGUUCUGUGCAGCCAGUCCCCACAGCAUAACACAUCACAAUGAAAGCUGUACAAAAACUCUCUACAGUACAAUUUAA
This 1056-nucleotide long non-coding RNA is filed under the name Carassius auratus (goldfish). Its description in RNAcentral is "lncRNA (ENSCARG00000040981.1)". The record is from RNAcentral. Lineage: Eukaryota; Metazoa; Chordata; Actinopteri; Cypriniformes; Cyprinidae.